This 253-nucleotide ribosomal RNA is filed under the name uncultured bacterium. RNAcentral describes it as "partial 16S ribosomal RNA". It matches the Rfam family "Bacterial small subunit ribosomal RNA", at positions 524 to 776 of the family's 1533-position model. The record is from RNAcentral.
UACGGGGGGGGCAAGCGUUGUUCGGAAUUACUGGGCGUAAAGUGUGCGCAGGCGGCAGAGCAAGUCGAGUGUGAAAGCCCCGAGCUUAACUUGGGAAUUGCGCUCGAAACUACUUUGCUGGAGUGUGGCAGAGGAAGGUGGAAUUCCAGGUGUAGCGGUGAAAUGCGUAGAGAUCUGGAGGAACACCGAUGGCGAAGGCAGCCUUCUGGGCCAACACUGACGCUCAUGCACGAAAGCGUGGGGAGCAAACAGG